This 253-nucleotide ribosomal RNA is filed under the name uncultured bacterium. RNAcentral describes it as "partial 16S ribosomal RNA". It matches the Rfam family "Bacterial small subunit ribosomal RNA", at positions 524 to 776 of the family's 1533-position model. The record is from RNAcentral.
UACGUAGGGAGCAAGCGUUGUCCGGAAUCAUUGGGCGUAAAGCGCGCGUAGGUGGCUUCAUAAGUCCGUUGUGAAAGUCAAAGGCUCAACCUUUGAAAGCCGAUGGAUACUGUGGAUCUAGAGUACGGAAGAGGCGAGUGGAAUUCCUGGUGUAGCGGUGGAAUGCGCAGAUAUCAGGAGGAACACCAAUAGCGAAGGCAGCUCGCUGGGACGUUACUGACACUGAGGCGCGAAAGCGUGGGGAGCGAACAGG